RNAcentral lists this unclassified non-coding RNA (253 nucleotides) under uncultured fungus. Its description in RNAcentral is "partial contains 5.8S ribosomal RNA, internal transcribed spacer 2, and large subunit ribosomal RNA". The stretch from base 1 to 52 matches the Rfam family "5.8S ribosomal RNA", at positions 103 to 154 of the family's 154-position model. The record is from RNAcentral. Lineage: Eukaryota; Fungi.
AACGCACAUUGCGCCCCCUGGUAUUCCGGGGGGCAUGCCUGUCCGAGCGUCAUUACUGCCCUCAAGCGCGGCUUGUGUGUUGGGCCUCGUCCCCCCGGGGACGUGCCCGAAAGGCAGUGGCGGCGCCGUGCCCGGUCCUCGAGCGUAUGGGGCUUCGUCACCCGCUCUGGAGGCCCGGCCGGCAGCCGCCGACCCAACCCCAAAUUUUUUACCGGUUGACCUCGGAUCAGGCAGGGAUACCCGCUGAACUUAA